This 454-nucleotide ribosomal RNA is filed under the name uncultured bacterium. Its description in RNAcentral is "partial 16S ribosomal RNA". It matches the Rfam family "Bacterial small subunit ribosomal RNA", at positions 28 to 507 of the family's 1533-position model. The record is from RNAcentral.
GAUGAACGCUGACAGAAUGCUUAACACAUGCAAGUCUACUUGAACUUCGGUUUGUGUGUCGGACGGUUGAGUAACGCGUACAGAACUUGCCUCACAGUUACGGACAACAUUUUGAAACGAAUGCUAAUACCUGAUAUUAUGAUUUUAGGUCAUCCUAACAUUAUCAUAGCUAUAUGCGCUGUGAGAGAGCUUUGCGUCCCAUUAGCUAGUUGGAGCGGUUACGGCUAACAAAGGCGAUGAUGGGUAGCCGGCCUGAGAGGGUGAACGGCAACAAGGGGACUGAGAAACGGCCCGUACUCCAACGGAGGGCAGCAGUGGGGAAUAUUGGACAAGGGACGAAAAGUCUGAUACAGAAAUUCUGUGUGCAAGAAGACGUUUUGCGGAAUGUAAAGAGCUUGCAGUUGAGAAGAAAAAAAUGAAGGUACCAACAAAAGAAGUGACGGCUAAAUACGUG